Rhincodon typus (whale shark) is the source of this 862-nucleotide long non-coding RNA. RefSeq lists it as uncharacterized. Lineage: Eukaryota; Metazoa; Chordata; Chondrichthyes; Orectolobiformes; Rhincodontidae. The transcript is spliced from 2 exons. The record is from RefSeq and is a predicted model, not a curated record.
CAUACCUUCACGACUGCAAUGCAGUGUCCGCUUCAAUGUUCUCCUCGACUUUCUGGAAUGGAACUUAAAGAUAUGACCUUUUGACUCCAUGCUAUCUAAUAAGCCAUGGCUGAGCACCUAAAUGAAGACUUGAGAAACAAGCUAACUUCCCAAGAACAGCCUUCUCAGGAUCAGGGAGCUUUCAUUUACAGAGUAUAAGAGCUGCCAGUUCCUGUGGAGCUGUACCUCAGCAUGAGCUAGCACCUCCAGAAUCGAAAGCAAACGAAUGAGAAAGAAAUCAGCUUGUGUUUCAAGAGCUAUAAGAAAUUUAACACUUGGCUGGAGCUCCAGAGCUCAGAAAUCAAUUUUCAUGAAUUCCUCCCACGCAAAAGUUUGUCUUGAUUACUGUUAACGUGAAGGAUUUUGCUGGCUGAUUUUUAUUAACAGGUUUGAAGAUGGAGCCAAGACAUGUAGUAUGCUAGAUCUGCAAAACUCUUCUCAAUAUCUGUCACUGUUGCUCCUUCAAAAGUCAUGAACUGAAUUACCAGUGGGCUGUCUCCCUGAAUGAACAAUGUUUAUCUCUCAACAAAACAUCAUGAUAACAGAUUAUCUGGUCAUUAUCACAUUGCUGUUUGUGGGAGCCUGCUGUGUCCAAACUGACUGCUGUGUUUCCUGUAUUACAACAGUGGCUACACUUCAACAAGUAAUUCAUUGGCUAUAAAGUACGUCUUUGGAUGUCCUGAGACUGUAGAAGGUGCUAGAGAAAAAACUCAAUUGUACUGCAAAGGAUUAUGGCCAAACAUGUCCUGCUUAGCAAAACUAUUCUGUGUGAAAAACGAGUCAACAGAAGAAAUGCAAAUAAAAUCUAUGGGAUUGCAUUUGA